GUCGAGCGGUAGCACAAGAGAGCUUGCUCUCUGGGUGACGAGCGGCGGACGGGUGAGUAAUGUCUGGGAAACUGCCUGAUGGCGGGGGAUAACUAGUGGAAACGGUAGCUAAUACCGCAUAACGUCGCAAGACCAAAGUGGGGGACCUUCGGGCCUCACGCCAUCAGAUGUGCCCAGGUGGGAUUAGCUGGUAGGUGGGGUAACGGCUCACCUAGGCGACGAUCCCUAGCUGGUCUGAGAGGAUGACCAGCCACACUGGAACUGAGACACGGUCCAGACUCCUACGGGAGGCAGCAGUGGGGAAUAUUGCACAAUGGGCGCAAGCCUGAUGCAGCCAUGCCGCGUGUGUGAAGAAGGCCUUCGGGUUGUAAAGCACUUUCAGCGAGGAGGAAGGGUAAUGUGUUAAU
RNAcentral lists this ribosomal RNA (407 nucleotides) under Serratia symbiotica. RNAcentral describes it as "bacterial SSU rRNA". It matches the Rfam family "Bacterial small subunit ribosomal RNA", at positions 61 to 464 of the family's 1533-position model. The record is from RNAcentral. Lineage: Bacteria; Pseudomonadati; Pseudomonadota; Gammaproteobacteria; Enterobacterales; Yersiniaceae.